RNAcentral lists this ribosomal RNA (276 nucleotides) under uncultured prokaryote. RNAcentral's name for it is "partial 16S ribosomal RNA". It matches the Rfam family "Bacterial small subunit ribosomal RNA", at positions 524 to 800 of the family's 1533-position model. The record is from RNAcentral.
UACGUAGGGGGCUAGCGUUAUCCGGAAUUACUGGGCGUAAAGGGUGCGUAGGUGGUUUCUUAAGUCAGAGGUGAAAGGCUACGGCUCAACCGUAGUAAGCCUUUGAAACUGAGAAACUUGAGUGCAGGAGAGGAGAGUAGAAUUCCUAGUGUAGCGGUGAAAUGCGUAGAUAUUAGGAGGAAUACCAGUUGCGAAGGCGGCUCUCUGGACUGUAACUGACACUGAGGCACGAAAGCGUGGGGAGCAAAUAGGAUUAGAUACCCUGGUAGUCCCUGA